This 85-nucleotide transfer RNA is filed under the name Anaerolinea sp. RNAcentral's name for it is "tRNA-Tyr". It matches the Rfam family "tRNA". From Rfam's summary of the family: Transfer RNA (tRNA) molecules are approximately 80 nucleotides in length. Their secondary structure includes four short double-helical elements and three loops (D, anti-codon, and T loops). Further hydrogen bonds mediate the characteristic L-shaped molecular structure. tRNAs have two regions of fundamental functional importance: the anti-codon, which is responsible for specific mRNA codon recognition, and the 3' end, to which the tRNAs corresponding amino acid is attached (by aminoacyl-tRNA synthetases). tRNAs cope with the degeneracy of the genetic code in two manners: having more than one tRNA (with a specific anti-codon) for a particular amino acid; and 'wobble' base-pairing, i.e. permitting non-standard base-pairing at the 3rd anti-codon position. RNAcentral also lists the same sequence under 1 other name. The record is from RNAcentral. Lineage: Bacteria; Bacillati; Chloroflexota; Anaerolineae; Anaerolineales; Anaerolineaceae.
GGGCAGGUACCCAAGCGGCCAAAGGGGGCUGACUGUAAAUCAGCUGGCAACGCCUUCGGUGGUUCGAAUCCGCCCCUGCCCACCA